GUGCUCGCUUCGGCAGCACAUAUACUAAAUAUUGGAACAACACAGAGAAGAUCAGCAUGGCCCCUGUGCAAGGAUGACACACAAAUCCGUGAAGCGUUCCAUAUUUCU
RNAcentral lists this small nuclear RNA (108 nucleotides) under Balaenoptera musculus (blue whale). The record is from RNAcentral. Lineage: Eukaryota; Metazoa; Chordata; Mammalia; Artiodactyla; Balaenopteridae.